Molecule: ribosomal RNA, 440 nt
Filed under: uncultured bacterium
Lineage: Bacteria
Description: partial 16S ribosomal RNA
Rfam family: Bacterial small subunit ribosomal RNA
Source: RNAcentral
CUACGGGAUGCUCCAGUCGAGAAUCUUCGGCAAUGGACGAAAGUCUGACCGAGCGACGCCGCGUGCGGGAUGAAGGCCUUCGGGUUGUAAACCGCUGUCAGAGGGAAGGAAAUUUUGACCGAUCCUCAAAGGAAGUACGGGCUAAGUUCGUGCCAGCAGCCGCGGUAAGACGAACAGUACAAACGUUAUUCGGAAUCACUGGGCUUAAAGGGUGCGUAGGUGGUCUAUUAAGUUGGGUGUGAAAUCCCUCGGCUCAACCGAGGAACUGCGCUCAAUACUGGUAGACUUGAGGGAGAUAGAGGUGAGCGGAACUGAUGGUGGAGCGGUGAAAUGCGUUGCUAUCAUCGGGAACACCUGUGGCGAAAGCGGCUCACUGGAUCUCUUCUGACACUGAGGCACGAAAGCUAGGGGAGCGAACGGGAUUAGAUACCCCAGUAGUC